This 812-nucleotide long non-coding RNA is filed under the name Selaginella moellendorffii. RNAcentral's name for it is "long non-coding RNA (SMOE_LNC000449)". Lineage: Eukaryota; Viridiplantae; Streptophyta; Lycopodiopsida; Selaginellales; Selaginellaceae. The record is from RNAcentral.
UUCUUUGCUGGCAGCGGUUAGGGCAAUGUACUCUGCCUCUGUCGAGGACAGAGCCACCAGCGGCUGGCGCUUACUGCUCCAGGACACAGCAGCCCCAUGGAGCAAGAACGUAUACCCGGAGGUAGAGAGCCUUGAGUCCUGGUCGCCCGCCCAGUCCGCAUCCGAGUACCCAUGAAAGUUCCUGUGACACAAGUGAAGCUGCAAAUGCAAGGUACCUUGAACGUAGCGGAAAAUCCGCUUCACAGCUUGCCAAUGUGCAGGUCGGGGGUUCUCGAGGAACUGGGAGACCAUCCCAACAGCAUAGGCGAGAUCUGGUCGGGUUCCCAGCAUCAAAUAAACAAGACUUCCCACAGCUUGACGAUAUGGCACCGUGGCCAUGUACUCUCUUCCUCCGUGACAGGGGCCAUGUCACGGCUAAGUUUGUGAUUGACCUCAAGAGGUGUGGCCACAGAAGAGCAGUCUAGCAUAUUGAAGCGUUCCAAGAUCUCCCUUGCAUAAUGAGCUUGUGUCAAACUCAAGGUGCGUGCUCCUAGAUUGCGUAUAAUUUGGAUGCCAAGGAAAUGGCGAAGCUCACCCAGGUCAGACAUCUCAAAUUCUUCACUCAGCUUCUUUUUCAUCUCGUCCAGCAAUUGGCGGGAUUUUGCACCAAGAAUGCAGUCGUCAACGUACACAGAAAAUCGUCACCACACUUGUACAGGUACACGUUUCCUUCCACUGCAAGAGGAACACACCCCAGGCUCUUGAAGAACGCAUCAAUGCGUUCAAACCAAACCCUUCCCAUACAGGGCGCGAUUCAGCUUGCAAACAAGAUG